Molecule: long non-coding RNA, 958 nt
Organism: Brachypodium distachyon (stiff brome)
Lineage: Eukaryota; Viridiplantae; Streptophyta; Magnoliopsida; Poales; Poaceae
Exons: 6
Source: RefSeq, a predicted model, not a curated record
AAAUGGAGUGUAAUGCAGGCACAACGAGGUAUGCGAUAUACGGUAGCCAAGAAGUGCAGCAGUUAGCAGAUGAGGAUGCGGUCAUGGAAAGGGAUAUAUUGUUGCAACACUUGACUAGCAAACCAGUGGAAUCUGGAGGAGCAGUACAAGCUAGGUUUGGGUGCUAAGGUGGAAGCGACAAAGAAGGGAUACCCGUGCUACUAUUUUAUCAUACACAGACGAAGUGUGCAUUGCGACCCUUAGGAGAGGAUACUGCACCUAGCUUCUACCAAUGAUUAGAGGGUUGAGUGCAAGAAAUUGUAGGUGGCAUGAUGAGGAAAGGACCAAGGAUGGACUUCUAAGACAUCCUGCUGAUUCACCCGCUUGGAAGUGUUUUGAUGCCAAACAUAUGGAGGUGGACCCAAGGUCCAUGGGGAAGCCAACAACACCACCUGAAGGAGCCUGAACCCCCAACAGUUUUAUCUACUUUCUGUUGUUUUUUGGUGUGAAUUGGUUGGAGGAACUAAUCACUGUCUGUUCAGAAACGGUCCGAUGUGGGCAUUGACAGAAACAUCCUCUCUUUUUUUUCCAAACCGAGGCAAAAGAGAAAGAUCCCUCGAGCCUCUGUCAGUUCGUCAAUGUGCGAAAUUUUGAGGACGUGGACAUCAUGUGGUUCCGCGACCCGUUCGAGCGGAUGUCGGUGGCGGCGCACAUUCUGGAUGACGUCUACAUGUGUGAAUGGAGUUCACAAACUCUACAAGUCAUCAUUUUGGGUUUAUAGAUGGACUAUUAGGCCUUUAGAACAUAACCAGCUAUCAUUUUGGGUUUCUAGAUAUACUACAUGUGUCUUUUGCACUUCUGGGUAUGAUGAAGCUACCUAUGAUCGAGUGAAUGCCUUUUGUAUAAUAUAUGAUGUUCUUCAGAACACAAAAUGUUGUGAUGUGCAUUUGUGUUGAUCGGAACUUUGAGAUAUUUUGUA